AGACUCCAGAAGCCACAUGAAGAAAAGACCAAUCAAUCUUCUAUUUAUGGGAGGUGGCACUGGAAGCAAGAGUGGUUAUUGAUUCAAAAUUCCACCCAUUAACUAGAGUCUUUUCCUUCAAGAAGGAAAUUCUUUCCAAGCCAGAAAGAAAAAAUUGGAAUACUGUAUAAAUGUAAAGCAAUGUAUUGAAGCUCAAGUACUCCAACACGCAAAAUACAUCUGUGGAAGGUAACUUGGACUCUAGUACUUUAAACUUGUAAUUAUCAACAAAUUUUCUCAAAGAAGAAAAGCAAUCACCGACUAAGAAUUCAACAAAGGAUCUUUUCCCUCCCUACUCUUCUCUACCCGGACUGUUUCCUGACAGAAAGAAAAAAAGCUCCAAAGCCACCGCUUCCCGAGGCACGGAUGUACCAGGCCUACCCAUGAGACACGCGUUGCCCGAUGCCAGUCAGGCAGCCCUCGCUGUUGCUUAAGACCAUAGCUGGAGCUGGUGCGGCUGACUCACAAGACAGGAAAGCUGGAUCGGCCCAACAGGAAGGCAGAGGAGUCACUCGCCCCUCAGUGACUCUGAGCGUUGUCCGGCAGGUCGUGGAACACGUGUCCUGUCAGAUCCUGUUACCAGAGGUUGGUCUCAGUUAUGAAAGGAGUCUUGGUUGUUGGGUCUUCCCUGAAUUACAAGGAGGCCCCUCCCCGCCCAGUGGAAAGAGCACAGCAUGAACAAAGAGCAGUUUUAGCAAGCAAAUGUAUUGGGAGAUAAGCGGGGACCCGGGUGAAAACGGAGGCCCUGAGAGAUCGCAGGUCCUCUCGGACAGGGAGAAGGAGCAGGGCCUGAAGGAGGCUGCAGCCCCCAGGACUGGGCUUGGCUUUUCGGACCUUGGAGACCACGUCAAGGGCUGUGGCUCCCCCCCGCCGCCAACCGGCAGUGGGUCUUUACCGGUCUUAUAUGGUCUUGGCCCUAAUGAGCAUGAUUGUGGUCCUAUACAAAGGGGCAUAGGGGCAAACCACACUUUAAAUAUAUGCUAAUGAGGCUUAUUUAGGUUAGUCUGGGGUUCGGUGCGCGUGCUGACUCCAGGCUUACAUCGUUGCCUAUGUUUUUGUCCUGGUGAUACCAAGAUGAAACAUUCUUGUCAGGCGCACAUGAAAUUAGAGCUGGGAAGAAAUGAAGGGAGAGGGCUCAGGUUUGUUUAAAUACGCGUUCCAAGGUCCAAAC
This is a long non-coding RNA of Heterocephalus glaber (naked mole-rat), 1210 nucleotides long. RefSeq lists it as uncharacterized. Lineage: Eukaryota; Metazoa; Chordata; Mammalia; Rodentia; Bathyergidae. The record is from RefSeq and is a predicted model, not a curated record.